Molecule: unclassified non-coding RNA, 215 nt
Filed under: Hevea brasiliensis (rubber tree)
Lineage: Eukaryota; Viridiplantae; Streptophyta; Magnoliopsida; Malpighiales; Euphorbiaceae
Source: RNAcentral
CUUAUCUUUCCUUCUUCUGCCAUUUUCACCUGCUUUUACUUUGCUGCAUUCCAUGGCGCUCAAUUUGCUUUCCCCUGCUGAAAUCAAGGCUAUCUCCUUCUUAGAUUCCACCAAGUCCAGCCACCUUACUAAGCUUCCAGGUGGUUUCAGUUUAAAGAGGAAGGAUUUUGGAGCAGCAUUUGGGAAGAAAGUGCAGUGUUCGGCCCAGCCUCCUC